RNAcentral lists this ribosomal RNA (723 nucleotides) under uncultured Acidobacteriota bacterium. Its description in RNAcentral is "bacterial SSU rRNA". It matches the Rfam family "Bacterial small subunit ribosomal RNA", at positions 32 to 774 of the family's 1533-position model. The record is from RNAcentral. Lineage: Bacteria; Pseudomonadati; Acidobacteriota.
AACGCUGGCGGCGUGCAUGAGACAUGCAAGUCGAACGGACGGUCGAGGCUUGCCUGGACCGUUAGUGGCGGACGGCUGAGUAACGCGUGGGUGACCUGCCCCGGAGUGGGGAAUAACUGCCCGAAAGGGUGGCUAAUACCGCAUGUGCCGGUACGUUCAUUCGUACCAGCAAAGCCGCAAGGCGCUUCGGGAGGGGCCUGCGUCCGAUUAGCUCGUUGGUGGGGUAACGGCUCACCAAGGCGACGAUCGGUAGGUGGUCUGAGAGGACGAUCACCCAGACUGGGACUGAGACACGGCCCAGACUCCUACGGGAGGCAGCAGUCGGGAAUUUUGCGCAAUGGACGAAAGUCUGACGCAGCAACGCCGCGUGAGGGAUGAAGGCCUUCGGGUUGUAAACCUCUUUUCUCAGGGAAGAUAAUGACGGUACCUGAGGAAUAAGCCACGGCUAACUACGUGCCAGCAGCCGCGGUAAUACGUAGGUGGCAAGCGUUGUCCGGAUUUACUGGGCGUAAAGAGCGCGCAGGCGGUCGUUCAAGUCGCGUGUGAAAGCCCCCGGCUCAACUGGGGAGGGUCACGCGAUACUGAUCGACUCGAAGGCAGGAGAGGGUAGUGGAAUUCCCGGUGUAGUGGUGAAAUGCGUAGAUAUCGGGAGGAACACCAGUGGCGAAGGCGACUACCUGGCCUGUUCUUGACGCUGAGGCGCGAAAGCUAGGGGAGCAAACG